GUGCACCAGGCGAGAAACCUCCGCAAUGCGGGAAACCGCGACGGGGGACCCCGAGUGCCGUGGCAACGCCACGGCUUUUCCGGAGUGUAAAAAGCUCCGGGAAUAAGGGCUGGGCAAGGCCGGUGGCAGCCGCCGCGGUAAUACCGGCGGCCCGAGUGGUGGCCGCUAUUAUUGGGCCUAAAGCGUCCGUAGCCGGGCCCGUAAGUCCCUGGCGAAAUCCCACGGCUCAACCGUGGGCUUGCUGGGGAUACUGCGGGUCUUGGGACCGGGAGAGGCGGGGGGUACCCCUGGGGUAGGGGUGAAAUCCUAUAAUCCCAGGGGGACCGCCAGUGGCGAAGGCGCCCCGCUGGAACGGGUCCGACGGUGAGGGACGAAGGCCAGGGGAGCAAACCGGAUUAGAUACCCGUGUAGU
This 412-nucleotide ribosomal RNA is filed under the name uncultured microorganism. RNAcentral's name for it is "bacterial SSU rRNA". It matches the Rfam family "Archaeal small subunit ribosomal RNA", at positions 330 to 745 of the family's 1478-position model. The record is from RNAcentral.